This is a long non-coding RNA of Bactrocera latifrons, 816 nucleotides long. RefSeq lists it as uncharacterized. The transcript has 3 exons. Lineage: Eukaryota; Metazoa; Arthropoda; Insecta; Diptera; Tephritidae. The record is from RefSeq and is a predicted model, not a curated record.
CCGCGUGAGUGGAAUUGUUAAGCAAAAUCUUGGUCGCUAGCCAUUUUGUGGUUGCAUUAAAAGCAACUGUGCGGAACAUUUCUUUGCCAUUGUCUUCGACUGCGGGCAUAAAAGCACAUUUAAGAAAAUAAUAACAAAAUAUUGGCGGGAUCUGAAGACCCAAAAGUUGUAUUAUAUUGUGUUGAUUUUAAGUUUUUUUUCAUAUAAGAAUACAGAAAUGUAUAUAGCCAAUUUAUAAAGUAAGUAUGUUUACGCUUUAGAACUCUUAAUUCUUAAAGAUUGAAGCAUAAAACCAAAAUGUUAAGCCUCGUUCUAGAUUUUCUUUUCAGCGGCAUCUCCAAAAUAAUCAUCAUCAAAUGUAAUACACUUCUGCCAACGAUUUUUCCAGUCCUCUAAACACUUUUCAUAAGCACUUUUUGGGAUGGCCUUCAGCUCCUUAAACGACGAAGCGGCAUUUUCAGUUUGCGGAACAAGAACAAAAAUCCAAAUACUGAUAUUUUGAUGUCAAAGACGCGUCUGGCUCUGGAAAGCUAAUUGUCGAACAAUGGAAAUCGACCACUCCGACCGUUAUGUAAGUUCCCAAGACAAUCGGAUCUAAAUAACAGGACUGGACCUGGUUUUUUAUCCAGCCAACUAUUCCUCGAAAUUACUUCAAGAAUAUUUUGGAUUGUUUGAUGGGGCUGGCAGCGAAUCAUCUAUUUUGAUACAUUUGAGAAGGAAUACGUUUUAUUGACCCAAAGAAAGAAGGAUAUCUCUCUUAACUUGUUGGCUCAGUUGCUAAGGCUAGACCAUCGCCGAAUUAUAUAUUAUAUACUG